UGGGGAAUAUUGGACAAUGGGCGAAAGCCUGAUCCAGCCAUGCCGCGUGUGUGAAGAAGGUCUUCGGAUUGUAAAGCACUUUAAGUUGGGAGGAAGGGCAGUAAGCGAAUACCUUGCUGUUUUGACGUUACCGACAGAAUAAGCACCGGCUAACUCUGUGCCAGCAGCCGCGGUAAUACAGAGGGUGCAAGCGUUAAUCGGAAUUACUGGGCGUAAAGCGCGCGUAGGUGGUUCGUUAAGUUGAAUGUGAAAGCCCCGGGCUCAACCUGGGAACUGGAUCCAGAACUGGCGAGCUAGAGUGGGGCGGAGGGUGGUGGGAUUUCCUGUGUAGCGGUGAAAUGCGUAGAUAUAGGAGGGAACACCAGUGGCGAAGACGACCACCUGGGCUCAUUCUGACACUGGGGUGCGAAAGCGUGGGGAGCAAACAGG
This 429-nucleotide ribosomal RNA is filed under the name Pseudomonadota bacterium. RNAcentral describes it as "Proteobacteria bacterium partial 16S ribosomal RNA". It matches the Rfam family "Bacterial small subunit ribosomal RNA", at positions 355 to 776 of the family's 1533-position model. The record is from RNAcentral. Lineage: Bacteria; Pseudomonadati; Pseudomonadota.